CCCAGCAGCCAUACAACCUCAGGCUGUGAUCUUGUCAGAUCUCACAAACUAAGCAGGUUGGCAUUGGCUAGAUCUCCAAGGAAAACCCAGGAUACUGCUUGAAACGGUGCUGGAG
This is a ribosomal RNA of Chelonoidis abingdonii (Abingdon island giant tortoise), 115 nucleotides long. The record is from Ensembl. Lineage: Eukaryota; Metazoa; Chordata; Testudines; Testudinidae.